GGUCCUCCAGGACGAGCUGGAAAGUGUCGCUGGGGAGAGGGAUGUCUGGGUUUCUCUCCUGGACCURUUGCCUCCACGACCUGACUACAGAUAAGCAGAAGAAGAAGAAGAUGGCGAUAUAUACAACUUCUAAAAUCUGCUUUGACAGUACUGCUUCACUUAUUUAUAUAAAGGUACAGGUUCCCUGGGUGUUUUUUGAAGACAUGGACAAGGAUGAAACCUUACCUGAUUAGCUGAAGAAGAAAAACUCGAGGAGCAACGUCUGAAGCCAUGAAGUCAGAUGAACGCGGAGAUGUUAUGAGCGGAGAAGAGCAGCGUGACGAGCAUGAAGGAGACUCAGAAUGAGACCACUGAGGAUGAUUACUUUAUGAUUCUGACAUUUGCUGACAAUAAACCACCUGGGUGGAAAAUGAAAUCA
This is a long non-coding RNA of Austrofundulus limnaeus, 418 nucleotides long. RefSeq lists it as uncharacterized. NCBI's taxonomy places the organism in Eukaryota, Metazoa, Chordata, Actinopteri, Cyprinodontiformes, Rivulidae. The record is from RefSeq and is a predicted model, not a curated record. The transcript has 3 exons.